AUGGCUGCCGCCCUCCAGCCGCAGGACAGCGCCGCCUCCCUCCGUUCGGCCUCCUGCCCUAGUCCCCUACAUCAGCCCCGGAGAUCGCCGCCGUCGGGAAUCGCUAGGUCCGGCGACCCCUCAUCCAGCGCGUCUUCUCCUUCUUCGCCGGAGCCCCGGGCUCACCGGAGCGCUGCCAGCAGCAGGUCGCUGCCUCCCUUUCCCUUCGCAGGAGCCCCGGGCUCACCGGAGCGCCGCCAGCAGCAGGUCGCUGCCUCCCUUUCCCUUCGCCGGAGCCCCGGGCCACGAGCGCCACCAGCAGCAGUUCCGGCCGUCCCCGUCACCGAGUUCCUCACCGGCCUUCCUUACCUCGUCUCCGGCCCUGCCCGUCGGAGCCACGCCUCCCGGUGCCCGCAGCUGCGUCGCCGGUCUUCUGCCUCGACCCGGCAUCGUUCCCUUUGGCAACCGCAUAGGUGCAACGCCAUAAGUUUUGCCUCUGUACACCCGUGUGGUGUUGACCGUGGAGUUCCACCAGCUGCUAGUUCACUCCGUUGCUUCCUCCCUGAAUGGUUUCGCCAAGUGCCUUCCGGCGUGACCAAGACCGCGAGCACCACAGAUCCACCAAGUACCUCGACGCCAUGCCUAAAACGACCACUGAACCGGAAAUAA
This 648-nucleotide ribosomal RNA is filed under the name Triticum aestivum (bread wheat). RNAcentral describes it as "partial small subunit ribosomal RNA". The record is from RNAcentral. Lineage: Eukaryota; Viridiplantae; Streptophyta; Magnoliopsida; Poales; Poaceae.